UAGUAAUCACCGACAUCAUUCAUUUCUCAAAUCUUUUCUUCUCCUUCUGUUGCAUGCACAGUCAGAAGUAGUUUGGUCCAAAAAGAAACUAAAGUUGCUUAUAUGUGAUGAAACAAGUUUGGUCCAAAAAGAAACUAAAGUUGCUUAUAUGUGAUGGAACAUGAUUUAUGCUGACACUUGAAGAUGUUCCCUUACAUUUAAGGGUUAUCUGAUUUUGCAUUUUGCAGUAAUGGGUCUAUCAGGGAGACAAUCACUCAUGUUUCUUUAUCUUAGGGCUUCAGUAGAUGGGUGUUCAGUUUCUUUCUUUUGUGGCUCCUAUAGCAAACUUCUUUCUUUUGUGGCUCCGGUAGCAAACCUUAAACUGGAAAGUGCACUUCCUUUAUUUUAUCUAGUUUUGUCUGCUGCAGAUACAUAUAUCUAGUGGGAAGUUCUUUGUUAGUAACUAAUUAGAAGGUUCACACUCUUCCAUGUGUUUUGUUUGUUAGUGUCUUUUUUUAUAUUAUUUGGUUCUAUUACACUUUCAUGGAAGUAGCAACCCAAAGACAUAUAAGUCCUUGUCAUUUGCACAACUAAAAAUGAAUUUCUCUUCGACAAACAAAUAACCAACUGGAUUUCCUAAACAAUUAUGACUGGCCUCUUAUUCUUCUUUUCUUUUGAAUAUCUUUUCUUUGUAUCAUGUUCAUCAUGUUUGUAAAUCAACCAACUCCUUACCACCCAUUACUAAAUGAUGUUAGUGCGAUGCAACCAACUCCUAAUCAUGUGUGUUAAAAAUGAUUUAACACAAAUAUGACUACAUAAAACCUAUGAUGAGAUCCCUCCAUUGUGGAGGUUUCACUUCCCUUCCUGUAUUACUGGGGUAGUAGUACUCUAUUUGUAGGAACAUGCGUGAAACUAAAACCAAAUGAAACUUAGCACUUAUAUAAAUAGAAGUUGUGGUAAUAUAAUGGAUUUAAAGCUGAAUGUAUGGUGAGAUGGUUAGGGAUUGGUGGAUAACAUCAAAACUCUUUGAAUCUGCGCCUCACUUGUAACAAGGAAUCUUAUAUAUGGAAGUCUAAGUGGUUAGGGAGCUAUAGUGGAUGGGAGCGGUUGGGCAAAGAUAGAUGUUUAAGCUUCCUUUCUUUUGGUCCCCCAACGGCGAUUGCAAUAUUGAUAAACAUAAGUUGAAGUGCGUUAUCCUCUCUCAUAUAGAAGUUGAAGUGUUAGUGAGAAAAGUAAACCUCCCUACCUUUUUAAUUGUUUUGGAACUAUUGACACAUCAGUUGAGCAUGCUUUUAGCUUUUGUUUGGAGCGGGAAGUUUGGGGGAUAAUUCUUGAUGUGUAUUGGAGCAUUUCCUGACUUGCAAUGCUCCCCUGACAAGAGGUAGAUAACAUUGUUAAGAACACGAAUUAGGAAACAAACUACAUCAGAAAUGGUGAGCAAAAAAGAGGACUUGACAAACGGGCAUAUGAGAAACAGAUAAACACAACAAACUUGCAAAACUACAAACAAAUGUACAUAUUUCAUUACUAAAUCAUAUUUGUUUUGGAAGACUUUAGUGCAGUUUUCCAUAAAGGAAAAACCGAUGAAAACAUUGUUUACAAGUGCAAGAGAGAGAGGGGGGUAUUAUGUUUUGUCAUCUUGCCAUUUUAGGAAUUUCUCCUUUUUCUUCUUUUUAGCAUUAUUUAGGGUCUAAUAUGUAUGAAAAAUGGUGUAGAAGAACCAAUUUGUAAAGAUGCCCAAGAAAUGUCGCACAAUUCUUAGAAUCCAUGUCAUGUAUAGAGUAAUCAAGUUUGCUCGAUAUUGAGAAAAUUGAUGACAAGGUCAGGGAUACUUGGUUCGUGGUACGUGGCGUCGAACCGCGAACCCGGUUCGUCCCCGAUCCACGAACCGCGAACCCGGUUCGUCCCCGAUCCACGGUGGUUCCCCACCCGGAUCCCAAGAUGUGACGAACCCUUUUAGUUUACUAUAGAUAUGAAUUUUUACUGAAAACAUAUUGGGGCUUUUGGUCUCGCUGGUGAGGCGAAUCUUGUGAUUGUUAUCUCGUACUUUUCGAUGGUCAGAAAAUGGUCGAAAGCAUAGAAUGAUGGCCGCAAAAAUUCCGGGUGAAUGUGAGGACUGAGGAGAGAGAACAUGUUGGGGGGUGGGGCCGUGGGGGGUGAAGAGCUAAAGAAUAUUUUAAGAAAAAGGAAAGUGGGCCUAGGGCCUAGGCACUUCAAUAAAAAUAUUAGUAGUAGUAGACUGAUUGGGUAUAUGUGUCGCAUGAUUUUUAUUAGCAAUAUUUUCAAAAAGCAACUUCCUUUCAUCCCUUUUUUUGUGUUUGACAACUACCUUUUUUUAUUUUUUUAUAACAUCUUUCACCUUCCACAAAGACUUCCACCUCAUAAAUACCAAGUACCCUACUACUUUUUGGCCAGUUACAAAGGACACAAUUACUAUUUUUAAAAAAUUACUGAAAAAAGAACACAACGUUCUGGGUUCUUUAGAAGUUGCGUUCCGCUUUCCGCUUUCCCAUAUUGUGUUCCGCUUGAAUCCGCGUUCCGUAUAGCAUUGGACAAGGUACUUACAGAUGAAAUUUGGUGGGUAUUAACACAUAAGGGUAUCUUGCAAAUAUAUUAACAUAAUUAAGGAUAUGAACAAGGAUGUAAUAACAAAUGAUAGAACAUGUCCAAGGUGUCACAAAAUAUUCCCGUUACUGUUAGGUUACACCAAAAAUCCAGAAUUAUUU
Long non-coding RNA from Spinacia oleracea (spinach), 2705 nucleotides. RefSeq lists it as uncharacterized. NCBI's taxonomy places the organism in Eukaryota, Viridiplantae, Streptophyta, Magnoliopsida, Caryophyllales, Amaranthaceae. The transcript is spliced from 2 exons. The record is from RefSeq and is a predicted model, not a curated record.